Molecule: long non-coding RNA, 402 nt
Filed under: Cricetulus griseus (Chinese hamster)
Lineage: Eukaryota; Metazoa; Chordata; Mammalia; Rodentia; Cricetidae
Description: lncRNA (ENSCGRG00015036220.1)
Source: RNAcentral
GUUGAAGCCAUGGGGAGCAGUAAGCAGCACCCUCCAUGGCCUCUGCAUCAGUCCCUGCCUCCAUUUGAGUUCCUAUUCUGACUUCCUUCGAUGAUGAACAGUGAUGUAAAAGUGCCUUGAGCUAUGGAGAUGAAUAAAACCCAAAGGCCCUCCUUCUCGUAUGCUGCAUAGAUUCCAGCUGGGAGAAAAGAAAACAAAAGAACAGGAGAUAAGAAACCAGCAUGCUGAAAACAAAAGCAAGGCAAUUUGAUGAAGAGGAAGAGGAAGGACCACACUUUUCCAAAUAUUUUCCUAGUAACUCGAGAUACCUUGCUCAUCAGGUGACAAUGGGGGAAGCCUUACCCGGAUGAUCAAAGUUUUAUCAACCACUCAGGGAAAGUAGCAACAGCUAUGCUAUGCUAU